UGUUAUGUAUUUGCAAUUAAAGGUUAAGAGAAUUCGUUAGACAUGUUUUAGAGUAUAGGUUCACGCAUUUUGCUCUCUAUGUAGUUUAUUAAACAGUAGGAAUUUAAAUAUAGUAGGACAUACGAUGCCCGGCCAGCAUCCUCGUCGUCGACUCGGUGGCGGCCACCUGCUUGAUAGGCGCCAGCGUGUGCGAGACUGGGCUCCGUCAGGCUGGCACUGGGAGGAGUUACCUUCCGGGGCGCGCAGCUUGGUGAGGAACCAGGCUCCCGUCAUCGGCCCGGAGCUUCUUUGGUGGCGGUCGCGGGGGCCACAGAGGGUGAAGAGGUUGCCGGGUCCCGAGGAGGAGGUACGUCGCCGUGUCAGGGAGGAGGGCGAGCACGUCCGUCGCUACAUGGAGGUGUUGGAUGCCAGGUUCGACAGGACCUGACAGGUUCUUCUUGGAUGUCACUCGAGCUA
RNAcentral lists this long non-coding RNA (456 nucleotides) under Hordeum vulgare. RNAcentral describes it as "long non-coding RNA (HVUL_LNC016214)". Lineage: Eukaryota; Viridiplantae; Streptophyta; Magnoliopsida; Poales; Poaceae. The record is from RNAcentral.